This 997-nucleotide unclassified non-coding RNA is filed under the name Stegodyphus dumicola. RNAcentral's name for it is "zinc finger protein 2-like, transcript variant X3". Lineage: Eukaryota; Metazoa; Arthropoda; Arachnida; Araneae; Eresidae. The record is from RNAcentral.
UUCUUCUUACUCUUGUAAAAAGCGCCAAACAAAUAAGUGGGCGAUUCUGCACUUUAGCUGCUGCUUUUAAAAAUGCUUUCAAUUACAUAUUUAAUAAUUCUAAACAUCUACUACCCAAUUCUAACAGUACGGAACUACUUUCGUCGCAUUGUUUACAAACAGCACGACCCCGUUACACGCCUACGCUCAAAUACCGAAGUCACAUGAACGUUGUUAAAAAGCAUGGUAGGGCACACUCAGCAAAGAAAGUCUACACAGUGCAUAUUCUUUGUCCUCAGUCCCGUAUGCAGGGAGAGAAAAUUUUGGUGUAGCACCAGCAAAUAUGUAUUAUUGUACAUAGAACGUUCUUUGGCACCAGGGCAAAGAAUAUGUAUUGUUCUUUGACCAGGGCGACUGGGUCCAAGCAAAGAAGUCCAAGACCGUACCCUACACUGAAUAAUAGUGUAGUUUGCGAAUGGUACAGGAAAAUAAUUUGUUUUCGUCAAAGAAUCUUCUUUGUUUUCGUCAUAAAAGAACAUCCAAAAGUAGCGCUAUUUAAUAGUUCGAGUAAUCGCGGCAAACAGCGGAAUUUGGAUUAGUUACUUUUCGUAUCACAUGUUAUCGGUAACCGUUGUACAUUUCAGUUUUGAGUAGCGUACGGCGCAUUGGUGCGGUAAAUCAUCAAAUUUAAUGUUAUGAGAAGAUUUUAUCGAAAAUACUUAUUUUUGUGUAUAGAAGGUUUGAAAAAUUUUAAGUCAUGGUGUUGUAGUGCAGCCUUAGAUGCAUUCCAGCUGAAUUUCAUUUGCAUUGAAGCAUAUAAUUAUUUCAUCAAACAAAAUUGCAAUUAUUUCCUUUUUCAUGCAGACAUAUUUUUAGAGUGAUAAUGUGGCCUAUAUGCAGUUCAGCAGGAUUUCAUCUGCUUCUAAAGCUACUGAUAUAUCAGAACAAAUGAAGCAUCAUAGUGGUAAUCUGUUGUGUAGAACACUCAACAAAAUUUGGAUUGAUAUGUGACAAAAAU